This 292-nucleotide ribosomal RNA is filed under the name uncultured bacterium. RNAcentral's name for it is "partial 16S ribosomal RNA". It matches the Rfam family "Bacterial small subunit ribosomal RNA", at positions 505 to 796 of the family's 1533-position model. The record is from RNAcentral.
GUGUCAGCCUCCGCGGUAAUACGUAGGGUGCUAGCGUUGUUCGGAAUCAUUGUGCGUAAAGCGCGUGUAGGUUGUCAGUUAAGUCGAUUGUGAAAUCCCUGGGCUCAACCCAGGAAGUGCAGUCGAAACUAGCUGGCUAGAAGAUGGUAGAGGAAGGUGGAAUUCCAAGUGUAGAGGUGAAAUUCGUAGAUAUUUGGAGGAAUACCUGUGGCGAAGGCGGCCUUCUGGACCAUUCUUGACACUGAGACGCGAAAGCGUGGGUAGCAAACAGGAUUAGAUACCCCCGUAGUCC